Molecule: long non-coding RNA, 1018 nt
Organism: Populus euphratica (Euphrates poplar)
Lineage: Eukaryota; Viridiplantae; Streptophyta; Magnoliopsida; Malpighiales; Salicaceae
Exons: 2
Source: RefSeq, a predicted model, not a curated record
AGGAGAUUCUAAACUAAAUAAUCUUGCUGGAACAAUCUAGAAAAUUGAAAAGCUUGUGUGUCCAAGGAUAUUCAUGGUAAAAAACAAAUGACUAUUCCAUAGCCAAGGAUAAUAACCUCAAAUUGAAAUAAAAUAUUUGUAACAAUUUUAUUAAGAGAAAAAAAAAAGGAUAUAUGUGAGGUCGCAUAGUCAGAUGAGUUAUCACUUAUCUCCAAGAAAUUCCUUGAUUCUGUAGUCUUUUUCUUGUGUCAGUUAAGCAAAAUCUCAGAGACCAUAGAGCUACUCAGAAAGUUCAAAUUUGGAGAAAAGCUUGGUAGAAAUCAUCAGGUUCAAUUGUACUGCAAAAACUCCUAGGUGGAUGCUACAAUUUGAAUUACUUCAUGCACACACACAUUCAGCCUGAGAGCACAAAUCUGAAUGUAGGGAAAAAUGAAUCCAGACAUUGCUGAAAUCUCACACAGAAAAUCCACCCAAACAGCUGAUACAAAAUUUGAACGUCAUACCAAAAACUCUUCCAGGUUCCAACAAAAUGGGUGUGAUCCACCAAGAAACAUUUGUGGGCUAUAGAACAGAUAAAGACAAAAAGGAAAGUGGGAUAAAAAAAAGUAUGUUUAAUGAAUUAGAGCUGCUGAAUCUGAGAACUUGAAAUGAGGAUUUGCUAGGUUGAGGCAAAAAUGCACUACCUAGAGUUCAGAUCCAAGACAGCUAGCAGGGAAAAUUAAUUCCCAGAGAAGGAGUUGACUGAACCAGACCAGCAAGCCCAGCAUGUCUGAGUUAAUGCACAUCUUAUACCCAAAGAUUUCCUCCAACAACAUAUUUUGGUUUAUCUGACAGUCACACAUUGGUGACUUGGUGUCUUAGAUAAUCCAAGCUGUAUUUGACAUAAACAAAGUCCAUUCCUCACAAUUGAUAUUAUCCAAAAGGUGGGUCCGGUCAGGUAGAAGUCAAUUCUAAUGCCAAGAAAUUGCCAUAACAGAACUGAUGGCAUCCUAUGUUUUUGCAAACCCUAAACAAAGAG